Molecule: ribosomal RNA, 247 nt
Filed under: uncultured bacterium
Lineage: Bacteria
Description: partial small subunit ribosomal RNA
Rfam family: Bacterial small subunit ribosomal RNA
Source: RNAcentral
AGAAUCAACGCUGGCGGCGUGCCUAACACAUGCAAGUCGAACGAGAAAGUGGAGCAAUCCAUGAGUAAAGUGGCGACCGGGUGAGUAACACGUGACUAACCUACCUUCGAGUGGGGGAUAACCUCGGGAAAACCGAGGCUAAUACCGCAUAACAUCGCAAGAUCAAAGCAGCAAGUGCGCUGGAAGAGGGGGGUCGCGGCUGAUUAGCUAGUUGGCGGGGUAACGCCCACCAAGGCGAAGAUCGGUA